UAACAACAAAAGCCUUCAGAAAUUUA
Molecule: non-coding RNA, 26 nt
Filed under: Mus musculus (house mouse)
Lineage: Eukaryota; Metazoa; Chordata; Mammalia; Rodentia; Muridae
Source: RNAcentral